CUGGGGAACAGGGCCACGUCCACAAUGGCUACGCUGCUGGAAAAAUGGGAGCAGAAGCAGACUGUCACAUCUUGGGAUCUCCUUCUGGCUUAAGGAUGAGAACCACCCACUAAACAAAGAAUAAAACAAGCUGAGCAAACUAGAGUCCAAAGAUGGAAAAGGCCAGUUAAUGGAAGAGCCAGGAUCAUAACCCAAACUUCUCUGUUCCCAGUGAGUAGUUUUCGCUUCAGCAUUUCCCAGGUGUGUUCUGUAUGAUGAUACCAGAUAGCCCACGAAUAAAGGUUUCCAUCAACAAGCAAGUUUGCAAAACACUGGAUUAAGGUCAAAUAGACGUCUUUUGCAGAGCUCCUCAGAGAUUCUCCCUUGAGCAUCGUGAAGCUCCAAGAUAAGCCUAUGACAUGGAACAUUUCCCCCCGAAGGACUAACACAGACUUCUUCCUCCGGAGCAUAUUAAACAUCUCAGAACGCUUGCUGAGACAUUGCUGCAGGGCAGUGGAAACCUCCAUGGACUUUGAUUUGUGGGGUGUGGUGGUUCUUAUGCUAAAUUAAAAGCAAUCCCAUUCCUUCCAUUAGGCCUUUCUGUCUGCAUCUCUGCCCAGCUGACUUGGGAGGCUGAGGAUAUAAAAAUAAUGAAAACCAGAUUCUAGAAAGAGCACACUUGUUUAGAGUCACCCAAAUGCAUCCAAAAGGCAGACUGGAUGCUACUCAGCUCUUCUCCCAGGAGGAGGAAUAUAAAGGAAAAAACCUACACCCUGUGACCCUCAAAUUCUUUCCAUUCUGAGUAAUUUGCUCACAGCCACCACAUCACAAAAGUACUAGCUAGAGCCUCUUAAGAGGGGACACAGGAGCCCAGGGAACCAAGGUUCUUAUCUCAGCUCUUCCACUAUUUGCCAUCGGACCUAGACUAGUUCACUAUCGGCUCAGCCUCUUACUUUGAAAACUUUUUUGCAUCAAAUUAAUCUCUCCCUUCCUCAGGCUACCAUACACUUACAUUUUGUCUAUACCAUUCCUCCCCUUGGGCCCUUGAAAAUCUCUUGGGAACAUAGUUUGAGAACCAGCAAACCCGAUGGGCUCUAUAGCUCAUCUCGGUUCUGAUAACCUGUAAUUCAAAUUUGUAUGUACUUUUGCAAGCUUUGCCUCCGAUUGUUAUUAAAGGACCCCAGCUCCUUGUGUAUUGCUUCUCUUAAUCUCUGGGAAGCACCAGGAGUGGUUCUCACUUGCUGGCUUCUUGAGAUGCCAGGACUCCCCAGUCCACAGACUCUAUUACAUGGACUGUGCAGAGGAGAGAAGAAUACUUUUCUCCCACCAUUGUGCUAUAUUUUGUCCCAUGAAUUUCCAAUAGGUAUCGUUGAUGCCCUUUUGAUGCACGAAGACCUUAGUAAAGCAGCUCUUCUGUAUUUGGCUAAUUCCUUCUCACCCCCAUUUCCCUCCACAAACUACUAAGCACGAGCCAAUGACAGCGCAGGGGUAGGGCUGCAGUGAGGCCGAGAAAGAAAGCUGCAUGAUAAACCUAACACUGACUGAACUCUGACCCACUUCUCUUUGAUGCUGAAGAUUCUGUCGCUAGACCCAACUGCCGGUUUCUUCGCUUUGCUUAGGAUAAGUUCCUCUCGGGAGACACCAGAGGCCUUCGUGAAAAUUAGACUUGCUGAGUUGGGCCUCCUUGGUGGAAGCGUCUGCUGGGGCCUCUGGGAAGCGUAUGCCCACGAGAAGUAAGAAAGGCAGGAGCCUUCGUGGGGAGCCUCCUGGGAAGGAGAAAGGGGAGAAGGAACAGGACAGGGGGGAGAGCCUCAGACGGCAGUUCGGAUCUGACGCCUCUGAAAGGAGAGGGAGAAAGAGGGAGGCUCGGGCAGGAGACGCCUCAGCCGGCAUCGCAGCUCUGAGAAAGUCUCAGCCAGGC
Molecule: non-coding RNA, 1900 nt
Organism: Sus scrofa (pig)
Lineage: Eukaryota; Metazoa; Chordata; Mammalia; Artiodactyla; Suidae
Source: RefSeq, a predicted model, not a curated record